GACGAACGCUGGCGGCGUGCUUAACACAUGCAAGUCGAGCGGUAAGGCCCUUUCGGGGGUACGACGAGCGGCGAACGGGUGAGUAACACGUGGGUGACCUGCCCUCAGCUCUGGGAUAAGCCUGGGAAACUGGGUCUAAUACUGGAUAUGACUCCACGGUGCAUGUCGUGGGGUGGAAAGCCUUGUGCGGCUGAGGAUGGGCCCGCGGCCUAUCAGCUUGUUGGUGGGGUGAGGCCUACCAAGGCGACGACGGGUAGCCGGCCUGAGAGGGCGACCGGCCACACUGGGACUGAGACACGGCCCAGACUCCUACGGGAGGCAGCAGUGGGGAAUCUUGCGCAAUGGGCGAAAGCCUGACGCAGCGACGCCGCGUGAGGGAUGACGGCCU
Molecule: ribosomal RNA, 388 nt
Filed under: uncultured bacterium
Lineage: Bacteria
Description: bacterial SSU rRNA
Rfam family: Bacterial small subunit ribosomal RNA
Source: RNAcentral